GGUCNNNNNNNNNNNNNNNNNNNNNNNNNNNNNNNNNNNNNNNNNNNNNNNNNNNNNNNNNNNNNNNNNNNNNNNNNNNNNNNNNNNNNNNNNNNNNNNNNNNNNNNNNNNNNNNNNNNNNNNNNNNNNNNNNNNNNNNNNNNNNNNNNNNNNNNNNNNNNNNNNNNNNNNNNNNNNNNAGGGACGCGCAGCCUAGAAAUAGUCGCGAGCCCGGAAGCCGGCCGGGCGGGGCUGGGAGGGGCGUGGUCAGGGCGGGGCGGGCCCCCUCAGGUGCGGGCGGUCGGACCCUUGCUAAGGGACUUUCCCAAAUUUGCACGGACGGUGGCUAAGACCGGAUCUGGUCUGGGAGGAGGCCGAAGUGAGCAAAGGCCGAGAGGGAGAGAUCUGCUGAGCGGAGUUCUCCCCUGCUCGCUUUUCCUCUGUUCCCAAGUCCAGGGGCCUCAUGAGUUCCCUCAGCCCGCGAAAAACUUCUCUCAAACCCUCACCUCUCUUCCUUUUUUCAAGUGUCAUUACUUUUCUUUUCUUUUUUCUUUUUUGGCUCGGUUUCCUGUUAAUGUGUGCUUUUCUGCCAACAGGAGAACUCAGUUGCAGCUCAGGUGUGUGGGUCAUCUCCACUGCCAUUCCCUUUACAGGAUUCGGUCACGCAAGAAGGAGGAAAGUCUCCGAGAUGACCUUGCUCAAACCCUGCUAUUUUACAGACGAAGAGCCGGAGCCUCAAAGGGGAAGUGGCCUGCACAGGAUGGCAGAAGGCGCAGAUAUUCCUCUUGCAUAAAGGACCAAAUAUUGAGUCCCAGCAAUGCUGAGGAUUUUAAAUCAACACACUAGUGUGGGCUACCUUGGAAGUUGUGGAAGUGGACCCUGGACUACUAAAUAAAUACUUGGCCUGUUUAAGCCAGCUUGUAAACACUUAGUAGGCAAUAUGAAGGCUAAACUAUAUGUCAGCAUUUUAGUUUCAAAGCUUUGUAGUUUGACUUCAUUUCCCUUUUCCUUAUAAGUUAUCAUCAGGAGGGAAACAUGAAGCCAAACAAGGUGAAUUUUAAGACAACAAAACUAUAGGGUCAUGCCAUGAAGACAGCAAAGCUAACCCAGCAGCUGGCUCAAUAUUAAAGGGGUAAAAGUCAAGGCUGUCCUUUUCUCCAUGGUGGGAAAAUCCGCCGUACAACCAGGGUUAAGUAACUUCUGAAAAUAACGGUGGGGCUGGGCAUGGUGUCACACACCUGUAAUCCCAGCACUGGGCAGGCUGAGGCAGGAGGUUUAUUGUGAGUUCGAGACCAACCUAGACUACAAAGUGAGAUCAAAGCCUGUCUGAACUGCAUAGUGAGACCCUGUCUCAAAAAGAAAAAUAAAUAAAUAAAUAUAUAAAUAAAUAAAGUAACAAUGGAAAAACAUUUAAAAUAUUUCAUUUGCAUAAUUAGUUGAAAAGAUCAAACUGACUCAUGCAUUCUUCCUCCAUUUUAAACAACACCUAACAUCUUUAAGUUGGAAAAAUAGGUAAAUAGAGAAAUACUUAAGUAAAUACUUAAGUAAAUAGGGAAACACCUAAGAGAAAACUUUAGUGAAGAUACUAAGUAUUUUUUUUUUUUUGGUUUUUCUCCGGUACCGGGAACUGAACUCACGACCUUGCGCUUGCCAGGCAGGCGCUUUUUGCCACUGAGCUAAAUCCCCAGCCCCGAUGCUAAGUAUUAAUGUAACACACCUCUGAAGGGAAACACCUCAAAUUUAUCAUUUUUAUUUGUGCCCAACUUGUAUCUGUCUUUUCUACUUAAGCAUAUCUACAUUUUUAUUAUAGAAUGAAAUAUAAAACUCUAGGUUUUGAACAUCAUGCUAAGUGUAUUCUGUACUUGUGCUACCGGUUUAUUUUCCCGUCUUUCCCUCCCCACUUUCCCACACAUCCAGGUAGUAGAUACUACCUGGUUCACGUCCUCCAACCUUUUACUAAACUUAGUCAAACAUACAUAAAAAACAGAGCACAUCAUCUUUAAGGGCAAAGAUACAGAAACCAAAAUACCAAGGUCUGUACACUGGCACUGCCUCUCCCUAGCUUCAUGACCUUAGGAAAAAGGUACUUUUCUGAUUUAGGGAAGAACUCUUUGAGAAAGUGAUAUAUAGGCUUAACUUAGUUAAGAAUGCCCACAGCAUCCUAAUAGAGAUAAGAAGAUAUGGAAAUGGCUGUAUGAACUUUAAAAAAAUGUAAAGAGAGCAGGAUAGCUAUGAAUGAAAAGGAAGAAGUAAAAAGUAAUAGUUAAUAAAAUCAUCUUGUGACACAGUUACUUAGACCAAAAUUUUUUCAAACAUUUUAGAAAGCAUUUUGGUAAUAUUAAAUAAGAAUUUCAAAACAUAGCUAGGGACGGUGGUGCACAGCUGUAAUCCCAGCUACUCAGGAGGCUGAGACAAGGAUGGUGAUUUUAAAGCCAGCCUUGGCAACAUAGUGAGAGUCUUUUUCAAAAUAAAAGAAAAAGAAGGCUAAGCUGCAGCUCAGAGCUAGAGUGCCUCUGAGUUCAAUCCCUGAUACGGACAAUAAUAAUUUAAAAAUACAUUUCUUCCUUUAACCCAAUGACUCCAUUUUUUUUUUUUUUUUUUUUUUUUUUUUGAGACAGGGUCUUGCUAUGCAGUUCAGGCUGGCCUUGAGCUCACUUUGUAGCCCAGGCUGGUCUCGAACUUGCAACGAUCCUCCUGCCUCAGCCUCCCAAGUGCUGGGAUUACAGGUGUGUUCCACCAUGCCCGGCUCAUUUCUAAGUAUCUUAUUGAAAAUAAUAUAAUUAAAAUAUUAUUAUUUAUUGAAAAUAAUAUAAUCAAUUAAGAAAAAAGAUAUCAAUUAAUGCGUAUUUGUCAUAAAGAAAAAUCAGACAAAAUAAAUUUAUAACAUGAAAAUGAGCACAUAUAUGUCAUGGAAAUAAGGAAAUGUAUACAGCUAAUAAAAGUCUAUAUAUCAUUUAUAAUAAUAUAAGAAAAUAUACUAUAAUUUAUUUCAUAAUAGUAAAAAAGGGAAACAGACACUCAAGAAAUAGGUCCAGAUAAAUGAUGCCCGUACCGUAGGUCUCCAUCAUGACCGAUGCUCUGUCUUGGAUCUGUAAUGUCUUGCGUGUGCCCCCACAUUGGUGGUGCCGCCCCUCGUGUGGCCACGUUGGCAGAUCAGAGAUGGGGCCUACUGUAGCGCAGAGGAGUACUCCACUGUGUAAAAAUAAUUUUCUUUAUCUUUUCAUCUGUUGGUGGACAUAUAGGCCUUUAUAAGAAUUUAGCAAUUAGACAUCGUGCUCAUGUAAAUAUAGACGUGCAUGUAUCUCUGUAAUACGACUUCUUUAACUUAGAGUGAUGGAACUGAUUGCUCAUGCACUAAAGCCUCUAAAAUCCUGAACCAAAAUAAGCCUUUUCUCUUCAUAAAUUAAUGUUCUCACGUAUUUGUUACCAUGACAGAACUAAACACUACUGAGGAACUCUCAGAUGAGGAUAUCAUAAUCUUAUAUAGGAAGUUUUGGCAAAUAUUUCUUUCCAGCUUUCUAGGGGCUCUUUGCUAUAGGUACCUGUUCUACAGAAAUUCUAUGGAGAAUUGUCUGCCUAAAGUACUAUUCAUUUUUUACCUUAAGAUUACUUUUACCAUUUUUACUGCUGACACAAUACUUGUAACUAUGUAAAAGUAGAACAUUGAUUACAUAGCAGCUCAUACAACCCCUACCCACUGCCCUUAAGAGUUAGCUCAUCUAGUAGUAGUUUCUGCUACUGAUUAGUUGUAGCAAUUUCUCCAGGCCCCAGUUUCUAUUAAAUGACUGCUCAAUCGUACACUGUCUAAAAUCUAAUCUAUUUGGCAUUAUAUGAUUUAGGUAUUACAUUAAUAGGAGGAACAACAAUAAUAAAGCCUACAAUUGAGUGAAUAAAACUUCAAAUUAGUGUAUUUUAUUGGGAGCAACAUAUAGUCAUAAUAUUAAUAAUAAAUAGUCAAAUUAAUCAAAUCAAGUGACCCAGUACACUACUUGUGGGCAGAAAGACUUUCAGAAUUGUAUUUUAAGAUGAAAUUCAAAUAGUUUCCUUUUAUGCAUACAUUAGUUCCACAAAAUACUUUUGGAACAAAACCAAAGAUGUCAUUUUGAGAAAAAAUGUUAAUAAAAUAUAGAAAAUACAAGUGUCCUAGAAAAUUAAAUAUAUGACAGCAGACAAAGAAACUAGGAAGUCUAAAAUUAUAUGGCUUGUCAUUUCCUCUGUUCUCCAAAAAUAUGUAAUUUAUUAUUUUCUCCAAUAUAAUGUUCUCAAUUGAACGAUGCUAUGUAGAGAAUAUGGUUCCAUAACUAUAUUGAGAAACAAACAGAAGUAUUGGAAAACCUAAUUUUAAUUGCUUAACAAAGGUAUGACCUUGGGAGA
This 4353-nucleotide long non-coding RNA is filed under the name Chinchilla lanigera (long-tailed chinchilla). RNAcentral describes it as "lncRNA (ENSCLAG00000023784.1)". The record is from RNAcentral. Lineage: Eukaryota; Metazoa; Chordata; Mammalia; Rodentia; Chinchillidae.